GUCUCUUCGGGGAUGAUUAAACCGGCGCACGGGUGAGUAACACGUGAGUGACCUGCCUUUUAGACUGGAACAACUUACCGAAAGGUGAGCUAAUGCCGGAUGAGUUAUAUAAGUGCAUGUUUAUAUAGGAAAAGUUGGGGAGACCUGACGCUGAGAGAUGGACUCGCGUCCCAUUAGCUAGUUGGUAGGGUAAUGGCCUACCAAGGCGACGAUGGGUAGCCGGCCUGAGAGGGUGGCCGGCCACACUGGGACUGAGACACGGCCCAGACUCCUACGGGAGGCAGCAGUGGGGAAUUUUGCGCAAUGCUCGUAAGAGUGACGCAGCGACGCCGCGUGAAUGACGAAGGCCUUCGGGUCGUAAAGUUCUUUCGACAGGGAAGAAAGUGCCUAUAAGUAACUGUGUAUGUAUUGACGGUACCUGUAUAAGCAGCCCCGGCUAACUCCGUGCCAGCAGCCGCGGUAAUACGGAGGGGGCGAGCGUUGUUCGGAGUGACUGGGCGUAAAGAGCACGUAGGCGGUGUUGUAAGUCAUUAGUCAAAGACUAGAGCUCAACUUUAGUAAGGCUAGUGAUACUAUAAUACUAGAGUAUCAGAGAGGAUUGCAGAAUUCCUGGUGUAGCGGUGAAAUGCGUAGAUAUCAGGAGGAAUACCGUUAGCGAAGGCGGCAAUCUGGCUGGAAACUGACGCUGAGGUGCGAAAGCGUGGGUAGCAAACAGGAUUAGAUACCCUGGUAGUCCACGCUGCAAACGAUGGAUGCUAGGUGUUGGGCUUUUAAGUUCAGUGCCGCAGCAAACGCGAUAAGCAUCCCGCC
This 810-nucleotide ribosomal RNA is filed under the name uncultured bacterium. RNAcentral describes it as "bacterial SSU rRNA". It matches the Rfam family "Bacterial small subunit ribosomal RNA", at positions 74 to 873 of the family's 1533-position model. The record is from RNAcentral.